RNAcentral lists this ribosomal RNA (301 nucleotides) under uncultured bacterium. RNAcentral's name for it is "partial 16S ribosomal RNA". It matches the Rfam family "Bacterial small subunit ribosomal RNA", at positions 509 to 807 of the family's 1533-position model. The record is from RNAcentral.
CAGCAGCCGCGGGAAUACGUAGGGGGCAAGCGUUAUCCGGAAUUACUGGGUGUAAAGGGAGCGUAGACGGUUAAACAAGUCUGAAGUGAAAUGCCGGGGCUCAACCCCGGAGCUGCUUUGGGAACUGUAGAACUGGAGUGUCGGAGGGGUAAGCGGAAUUCCCAGUGCAGCGGUGAAAUGCGUAGAUAUUGGGAGGAACACCGGCGGCGAAGGCGGCUUACUGGACGACAACUGACGUUGAGGCUCGAAGGCGUGGGUAGCAAACAGGAUUAGAUACCCCCGUAGUCCCUGUCUCUUAUAC